GAAUAAUAAACUUGAGAAGGAACUGGGCCUACGGGUUUGGUUUUUCUCUUAUUUUUUACCGUGAACUGUCUUAUAGCAUGGCGCUAGUAGAGAUGCCUGAGCCACCAUACGGGGUAGGCGGCACAGGAUGAUUUUAAUCGAAGCCAUGGUCAAGCCGACUUUUUUUCAGCUUGGUACCCCAAAAAUUAAUUAUUCUACCAAAUGAAUUCAGUAUUAAUAUUGUAACAUGGGCUCGCUGAAAGGUGGCCUAUAAAACAACUUUUAACAACGGAUCUCUUGGUUCUCGCAUCGAUGAAGAACGUAGCAAAGUGCGAUAACUAGUGUGAAUUGCAUAUUCAGUGAAUCAUCGAGUCUUUGAACGCAUCUUGCACCUGCUGGUAUUCCAGCAGGUACGCCUGUUUCAGUAUCAGAAACAACUCUUCCCUUAAGAUUUUUUUCUUAAGGGGACAUUGAGGGUAUCUGGCUUAGAAGUAAAAUCUCUAGCCCGGAGACGCUUUAAAUGACUUAAGGCCUGCAAGCCAAAGUUUGAUUGCGCCUGAACUUUUUCUUAAUUUCAAGCGAAAGCUCUUGCGAACUAGAACUUUAUUAUUGCCUUGGGGGCCUCCCAAAGAAAACAUUCAACAACUUGAUCUGAAAUCAGGUGGGAUUACCCGCUGAACUUAAGAAUAAUAAACUUGAGAAGGAACUGGGCCUACGGGUUUGGUUUUUCUCUUAUUUUUUACCGUGAACUGUCUUAUAGCAUGGCGCUAGUAGAGAUGCCUGAGCCACCAUACGGGGUAGGCGGCACAGGAUGAUUUUAAUCGAAGCCAUGGUCAAGCCGACUUUUUUUCAGCUUGGUACCCCAAAAAUUAAUUAUUCUACCAAAUGAAUUCAGUAUUAAUAUUGUAACAUGGGCUCGCUGAAAGGUGGCCUAUAAAACAACUUUUAACAACGGAUCUCUUGGUUCUCGCAUCGAUGAAGAACGUAGCAAAGUGCGAUAACUAGUGUGAAUUGCAUAUUCAGUGAAUCAUCGAGUCUUUGAACGCAUCUUGCACCUGCUGGUAUUCCAGCAGGUACGCCUGUUUCAGUAUCAGAAACAACUCUUCCCUUAAGAUUUUUUUCUUAAGGGGACAUUGAGGGUAUCUGGCUUAGAAGUAAAAUCUCUAGCCCGGAGACGCUUUAAAUGACUUAAGGCCUGCAAGCCAAAGUUUGAUUGCGCCUGAACUUUUUCUUAAUUUCAAGCGAAAGCUCUUGCGAACUAGAACUUUAUUAUUGCCUUGGGGGCCUCCCAAAGAAAACAUUCAACAACUUGAUCUGAAAUCAGGUGGGAUUACCCGCUGAACUUAA
RNAcentral lists this ribosomal RNA (1326 nucleotides) under Actinomucor elegans. Its description in RNAcentral is "eukaryotic LSU rRNA". The stretch from base 257 to 409 matches the Rfam family "5.8S ribosomal RNA". Lineage: Eukaryota; Fungi; Mucoromycota; Mucoromycetes; Mucorales; Mucoraceae. The record is from RNAcentral.